GACGAACGCUGGCGGCGUGCCUAAUACAUGCAAGUCGAGCGCUGAAGGUUGGUACUUGUACCAACUGGAUGAGCAGCGAACGGGUGAGUAACGCGUGGGGAAUCUGCUUUUGAGCGGGGGACAACAUUUGGAAACGAAUGCUAAUACCGCAUAAAAACUUUAAACACAAGUUUUAAGUUUGAAAGAUGCCAUUGCAUCACUCAAAGAUGAUCCCGCGUUGUAUUAGUUAGUUGGUGAGGUAAAGGCUCAUCAAGGCGUGGACACAUAGCCGACCUGAGAGGGUGGUCGGCCACAUUGGGACGGGGACACGGCCCAAACGCCUUCGGGAGGCAGCAGUAGGGAAUCGGCAGGAAUGGGCGAAAAUCUGAGCGAGAAACGCCGCGUGAGGGAAGAAGGGUUUCGGGUCGUAAAACUCUGUUGGUAGGGAAGAAAGUGGGUGAGAGUGGAAAGCUCAGCGAGUGACGGUAACUAGCCAGAAAGAAACGGCUAACUACGUG
RNAcentral lists this ribosomal RNA (497 nucleotides) under uncultured bacterium. Its description in RNAcentral is "partial 16S ribosomal RNA". It matches the Rfam family "Bacterial small subunit ribosomal RNA", at positions 28 to 507 of the family's 1533-position model. The record is from RNAcentral.